This 496-nucleotide ribosomal RNA is filed under the name uncultured bacterium. Its description in RNAcentral is "partial 16S ribosomal RNA". It matches the Rfam family "Bacterial small subunit ribosomal RNA", at positions 29 to 507 of the family's 1533-position model. The record is from RNAcentral.
AUGAACGCUGGCGGCGUGCCUAAUACAUGCAAGUAGAACGCUGAAGGAAGGAGCUUGCUCUUUCCGGAUGAGUUGCGAACGGGUGAGUAACGCGUAGGUAACCUGCCUGGUAGCGGGGGAUAACUAUUGGAAACGAUAGCUAAUACCGCAUAACAGUAGAUGUUGCAUGAUAUCUACUUAAAAGGUGCAAUUGCACCACUACCAGAUGGACCUGCGUUGUAUUAGCUAGUUGGUGAGGUAACGGCUCACCAAGGCGACGAUACAUAGCCGACCUGAGAGGGUGAUCGGCCACACUGGGACUGAGACACGGCCCAGACUCCUACGGGAGGCAGCAGUAGGGAAUCUUCGGCAAUGGACGGAAGUCUGACCGAGCAACGCCGCGUGAGUGAAGAAGGUUUUCGGAUCGUAAAGCUCUGUUGUAAGAGAAGAACGAGUGUGAGAGUGGAAAGUUCACACUGUGACGAUAUCUUACCAGAAAGGGACGGCUAACUACGUG